MicroRNA precursor from Gorilla gorilla gorilla (western lowland gorilla), 79 nucleotides. Lineage: Eukaryota; Metazoa; Chordata; Mammalia; Primates; Hominidae. The record is from Ensembl.
GGGGAAUGAAAGUUGGCUGCAGUUAAGGUGGCUAAUCAGCUGAUGGUGCUACCUUAACUGCAGCCAAUUCUAAUUCCCC